Molecule: RNA transcript, 3781 nt
Organism: Cercocebus atys (sooty mangabey)
Lineage: Eukaryota; Metazoa; Chordata; Mammalia; Primates; Cercopithecidae
Exons: 1
Source: RefSeq, a predicted model, not a curated record
UCGGUGUCCUCAUCUAUAAAAUGAGCUAUUGAACUACGCACUUGGCAGGACUUUGCCCUAAAGAUCAUUUUCAAAAUAAAAUAUAUAUAUAUAUGCCACUUCCCUUUUCCCACAUUAACCCUGAGAGACAAAGAGGAAGCGGGAAGCCAGCACAUGGAAGCAAUUUAUUGCAGACGUUCCUGGGUUGGGAGAGGAGCCUUCUGACUGCUGCAGAGACCUUUACCGGAGGUGCGGAGAACUGCUGCGGGGCUCGGCGCGCACCGGGUUCCGGGGUGUUCACGGGCGGCGCUGCCUCUGCGCGCGCAGGACGGGAGUCGCCGGAGGACCGGUGGUGGAUUCCCUCCCCGCAUCCCUCCUUUGCGUCCAAAGUCAAAUUGCUCUUUUCUCCGCCCACGCGGGCGUGGCGGCUGAUAUCCGGCCGCUGGGCGUCCCUGCGCCCCCGGGGGCCCCGCCCUGCCGCUAUCUCCGCAGCCCACCCCGCGGCGCCUCCCUGCAGAGCUGCUCCCCCGCCCAAACCGCCGCGGCGCGACGCCGAGCCAGCCCCGCGAAGCUGCACCCACCCCUGAGGACCAGCCCCUCGAAGGCAGGGCCAGCACCUCCCCGGGCUGCUGCAGCCGUGAGCCACCCCUGUUUUGUGAAACACACACUCUAACGUUUCAGGCCGCACUUGCCCGUUGCCAUGGGCGUUUUCUGUGUUGACACAAGCAGGGACUCGGAAUCCCUUGACUUUGAGUUGCAGAUCGUGGGUGUUGGCGUCUCCGCUGCGUUACCAGGAAGGAUGGAAGGGGCUUUAGCCUCCAUCCUCACUUUCCUUCUCAAAGAGUUGGCUGAGCACCCAGAGUUUUCUCUUUGGCUUGUCUCAGGUCCCCUUUCCCUGAGAGGUGAAAAGUUUUUCGGAAAGGUGAGCGCUUUCUGUUUAUUCCUAGGGGCCACUUCACACACUCCUUUUUCACCUCCAGAGUAGAUGGAACCGUGGAACCAUGGAACCCUGCCCUCUGGUUGUGUCUGUCAUCUCCUACUGGGACCAGAGCCACAAAAGACCUAACUCUCUCCAGCGUGCAGGCAUCCCAACUAGAAGAAGCAAGGAGGCAGAGACCAAGAGGACAUCAAGAGGCGUUUGAACCCACAGAGAGGGCCUGGAACACAAUGCUGAGCGUGGGCCCAACCACUGCUUCUCAGCGGGGUGGGAGAGUGGCGUGGGGAGAGUUGUGGGCAUUUAGGGCAGGACAGUGCCCCGCCCUCGGCUUGGGACCGGGCUGCAUUGCAUCAUCACUGUAACCACUAGCCGCCCCCGCCCUCACAACCCCUGUGUAUGAAAUGCAAGUAGCACCUCCCCGUCGUUGUGACAACCCAAAAUGCCACCUCCUAUGCCCAAGCACUCUCUAAUGAGGUGUUUCCUUAGGUUGAAAACCACUGUUAGAUGAUUUCCUAAAAUAUAUCUCAAAAGAUCAAUUAGUUCCUUAAGAUAUAAGUAGGUGUUAUAUGAAAAGAGUAGCAUGCUAAUAUCAGUAUCAUGCUGAGUUUGGGAAAUGGUGGGUUAAAAAGUGGAGCAGGAUUUACUUACAGGACUUCUCAGAACCUUUAAUAUGUAUAAAUAUAUGUUUUGAAUCACCAAGAGAGAGAUGGACUAUGCGGAUCCCCAAAUUUAAUUGGCCCCGGAAUUCUUUCUUUGUAGGACCCUUUUAGGUGCAGCGUAUCUUAGAUACCUCUGAACUACAUUCUGUCGUCCAGGGCACUCUCUGGGGACUUCUGUAUCCUCCCCAGUGUGAAGUGCAGGAGUGAGCAGUCAAAAGGCCCUUAUGUUUUUACUGAAUUGAAACACCUAGAAUGUGUGAAGAUACCAGGAAGGAGGCCAGAGCUUCAGGAAACCGCUGCAAAGAUGACCUCACAAAGAAAUCAUUGUGGCAGGGCCCCUGGCGCACUCAAGGUGAGGUGACGUGUCCUGCUCCUGAGAGCACGCAGCCCUGCUGGCGCCUUGGGCUUGCAUGGCUCAGGGAAAGGAAAAUAGCCUGGGUGUUUGGAAGAGAAGUAUGUGUGGAUGGAAUUACUCAAAUGCUGAUGGAUGGAUUGGGUCUCCUGUCCUGCUGGCCUGGCAGCCUCUGUGUGGAAGGCUUUGCCCAGGAGAUGGGUCACAGCAGCUCUGGUGAGAUGCUGGAAACAUAAGCCCAGGCAGAUAUAAUGGCAGUGAGUCACAGUAAACCAACAACCAUCAGGUGCUCAGGAGGGAAGCUGAAACCAGGGGACUCGCUGUGCUGAGCUAAGCGAGGAGCAGGACUCUCCUGUUGUGCAAAACACAAAGAGCAGAGUGUUCAAGUCCAAGGAUCAGGUUCCUCCAAAUGGAAGCCCAAGCUGUGCGCACUGAGCUCCAGGGCUGGCGAUACAAUCACCUGCCUCUGCCCAUGCAGGAGGGUACCACCCAAACAUACCCAUUUCUCCUGGGGCAUGGGCAGGGGCCAGGGGAGACAGGGCCCUACCACUUCCUGUGUAAAACUGAGUGAGCAGCCCAGCGCCCAUCAGGGUCGAAGCACCUCACCUGCACCCCCCAGCCUUGUAAUUUGGGCUCUGCUCACCACGUGCUCUGUGCUAGUGAAACUGCCCUCUGAGCAGAAAUAAACUGUUGGCUCUUAAGUUUUUCCAGAUUAACCAGACUGGCCAAUGCCUGAGGCUCUGCGUUCAAGAUAAAAGUGCCUAAGAAAGGAAAAAAAAGUGCAAGUAGGCAGUCCCCACUUCUCCAGGGCUGGCGGGCUCUGAGGAUCCUGCCUUAGCCUGCUGAGCAGCCCAGAGUGGCUUUAAGAAAAAAAAAAAAAAGCCUGAACAAUUUUUUUUUGCACAUGGGUCACAGUCAAGCUUCUUAAACUUGGAUGACAGUAAACCUAUGACUAACUGGAUAAUUAAAGCCACAAGUCUGGAGGCCUGGGCAGGGCUCUGCUCUGGAAUCUCCGGUGGCCUGUUCUAUAGGCCAGCGUCCGUUGUCCUCCCCAUAGCACAAAUGCUUUUGUGAGUUGGAAACCCUCUGUGGUGACCUCUCCGUCUUCUCAAGGUCAGUUCUCCACUUGUCCAUGGCUUCAUGCCCCCACCCUGCAUCCCUGUCCACUGCAUGGAAGGAGGAAAUCUAACCCACCGGCCACAGUGCAGCCCACACUCCCCACCCUGCCCCGACAGGAACAUGACAGAAGGUUUCCAACUAAAACCAAAGUUACUCAGCAAAGCUUCCUGCCAGGCAGCCAUGCUGGAGGGCGCAGCGUGCCUCUCUCUGCUCUAUCUGUUUUAUGAAACUUCUCUGCUGCAAGCACUUGAGAGCCUCCCGGCUUCCUGGGGAGAGUGGACUGAACUUCAAAGCAGACACCGCUGCAGCUAAGAAGCCCCUGGGUUGCUUCAAAGACUGUCUCUUCCCAGUCUGAAGCUUCUGGUGAAUGUUUCUCCCUCAUUUCUGAAACAACAGAUAGAGCUACUGAAGUUUACAACAUCCCCCAAGGCAUUUCUGUGUUUCUGCCUUUAAUCUAGGGCCCAAGUGACCACCCACAAGAAUGCCCUGAACCCUGACUGCCUCAGGAUGCAUCCUGCAGUUUACAUUCCCAUGGUGCCUCCGCCUCCACUCCAGCCGCCUCUCUGGCCACCCCUGCCCCCUCCCUUCUCUCCAUCAUGCCAAAAAGUGCCCUCGUCCUCUGAUGGUGGACGAGAGGAUUCGGUUAGGAGUCAGGAUGGUCUAUGUGAUUUUUGUACACUAUUCCAGAAUAGGUGUGUGGUUGCUUUAAAAAUAAAAAGAAAUGUGUCUUCCAAA